RNAcentral lists this ribosomal RNA (483 nucleotides) under Ochrobactrum sp. Its description in RNAcentral is "bacterial SSU rRNA". It matches the Rfam family "Bacterial small subunit ribosomal RNA", at positions 92 to 611 of the family's 1533-position model. Lineage: Bacteria; Pseudomonadati; Pseudomonadota; Alphaproteobacteria; Hyphomicrobiales; Brucellaceae. The record is from RNAcentral.
GGAGCGGCUGACGGGUGAGUAACGCGUGGGAACGUACCUUUUGCUACGGAAUAACUCAGGGAAACUUGUGCUAAUACCGUAUGUGCCCUUCGGGGGAAAGAUUUAUCGGCAAGGAUCGGCCCGCGUUGGAUUAGCUAGUUGGUGAGGUAAAGGCUCACCAAGGCGACUAUCCAUAGCUGGUCUGAGAGGAUGAUCAACCACACUGGGACUGAAACACGGCCCAGACUCCUACGGGAGGCAGCAGUGGGGAAUAUUGGACAAUGGGCGCAAGCCUGAUCCAUCCAUGCCGCGUGAGUGAUGAAGGCCCUAGGGUUGUAAAGCUCUUUCACCGGUGAAGAUAAUGACGGUCACCGGAGAAGAAGCCCCGGCUAACUUCGUGCCAACAGCCGCGGUAAUACGAAGGGGGCUAGCGUUGUUCGGAUUUACUGGGCGUAAAGCGCACGUAGGCGGACUUUUAAGUCAGGGGUGAAAUCCCGGGGCUCA